UGGGGAAUAUUGGUCAAUGGGCGGAAGCCUGAACCAGCAAUGCCGCGUGGGUGAUGACGGCCUUCGGGUUGUAAAGCCCUGUCAGUGGGAAAGAAAAAGCCGGUUAACAGCCGGACUUGACGGUACCCACAAAGGAAGCACCGGCUAACUCUGUGCCAGCAGCCGCGGUAAUCCAGAGGGUGCAAGCGUUGUUCGGAAUUACUGGGCGUAAAGCGGGUGUAGGCGGCUUUUUAAGUCGGACGUGAAAUCCCUGGGCUUAACCUAGGAACUGCGUCCGAUACUAUUGAGCUCGAGUGUCGGAGGGGGUGGCGGAAUUCCCGGUGUAGAGGUGAAAUUCGUAGAUAUCGGGAGGAACACCUGUGGCGAAGGCGGCCACCUGGAAGACAACUGACGCUGAGACGCGAAAGCGUGGGGAGCAAAC
This 421-nucleotide ribosomal RNA is filed under the name uncultured bacterium. RNAcentral's name for it is "bacterial SSU rRNA". It matches the Rfam family "Bacterial small subunit ribosomal RNA", at positions 355 to 773 of the family's 1533-position model. The record is from RNAcentral.